RNAcentral lists this ribosomal RNA (487 nucleotides) under uncultured Methanosaeta sp. RNAcentral describes it as "bacterial SSU rRNA". It matches the Rfam family "Archaeal small subunit ribosomal RNA", at positions 852 to 1338 of the family's 1478-position model. The record is from RNAcentral. Lineage: Archaea; Methanobacteriati; Methanobacteriota; Methanomicrobia; Methanotrichales; Methanotrichaceae.
AAACUCAAAGGAAUUGACGGGGAGCACCACAACGGGUGGAGCUUGCGGUUUAAUUGGAUUCAACGCCGGAAAUCUUACCGGGACCGACAGCAAUAUGAAGGCCAGGCUGAAGACUUUGCCGGAUUAGCUGAGAGGUGGUGCAUGGCCGUCGUCAGUUCGUACUGUGAAGCAUCCUGUUAAGUCAGGCAACGAGCGAGACCCACGCCCACAGUUGCCAGCGUACUCUCCGGAGUGACGGGUACACUGUGGGGACCGCCGCUGCUAAAGCGGAGGAAGGAAUGGGCAACGGUAGGUCAGUAUGCCCCGAAUAUCCCGGGCUACACGCGAGCUACAAUGGUUGGUACAAUGGGUAUCUACCCCGAAAGGGGACGGAAAUCUCCUAAAACCAAUCUUAGUUCGGAUUGAGGGCUGCAACUCGCCCUCAUGAAGCUGGAAUCCGUAGUAAUCGCGUUUCAACAGAACGCGGUGAAUACCGUCCCUGCUCCUU